Molecule: ribosomal RNA, 490 nt
Filed under: uncultured bacterium
Lineage: Bacteria
Description: partial 16S ribosomal RNA
Rfam family: Bacterial small subunit ribosomal RNA
Source: RNAcentral
GAUGAACGCUAGCUACAGGCUUAACACAUGCAAGUCGCGGGGCAGCAUGGGGGUUGCUUGCAAUCCCCGAUGGCGACCGGCGCACGGGUGAGUAACGCGUAUCCAACCUGCCCUUCACCACGGGAUAACCCGGCGAAAGUCGGACUAAUACCGUAUGUUGUCCAUUGACGGCAUCCGAUUUGGACGAAAGGUUUGGCGGUGAAGGAUGGGGAUGCGUCCGAUUAGCUGGACGGCGGGGUGACGGCCCACCGUGGCGACGAGCGGUAGGGGUUCUGAGAGGAAGGUCCCCCACACUGGAACUGAGACACGGUCCAGACUCCUACGGGAGGCAGCAGUGAGGAAUAUUGGUCAAUGGGCGUAAGCCUGAACCAGCCAAGUAGCGUGCAGGAUGACGGCCCUAUGGGUGGUAAACUGCUUUUAUGCGGGGAUAAAGUGGCCCACGUGUGGGUUUUUGCAGGUACCGCAUGAAUAAGAACCGGCUAAUUCCGUG